GAUAUGAUGAUGUAAAAGAAAUAUGGAGAAGAAAUAAUUUUUUUUUAAUUUUUCUCUCUUCCCAAACCCUUAGGAACAAAUCUAGGAUUUCUAGGUUUUUCGAUCAUCCAAAAAGAGAGGACUCUCCUCUAUUUUUUUUUUCACACCAUGAAACCAUGCCCCACCUUCCCACCAUGAAAACCACUUUCUCAAGUCUCUUACAUGCACAAAAGAAAAAUAAAACCCCC
Molecule: long non-coding RNA, 227 nt
Filed under: Elaeis guineensis (African oil palm)
Lineage: Eukaryota; Viridiplantae; Streptophyta; Magnoliopsida; Arecales; Arecaceae
Description: long non-coding RNA (EGUI_LNC079317)
Source: RNAcentral